UACGAAGGGGGCUAGCGUUGCUCGGAAUUACUGGGCGUAAAGCGCACGUAGGCGGUCUUUUAAGUCGGGGUGAAAUCCUGGAGCUCAACUCCAGAACUGCCUUCGAUACUGAAAGACUUGAGUCCGGGAGAGGUGAGUGGAACUGCGAGUGUAGAGGUGAAAUUCGUAGAUAUUCGCAAGAACACCAGUGGCGAAGGGCGGACUC
This 205-nucleotide ribosomal RNA is filed under the name uncultured bacterium. RNAcentral describes it as "partial 16S ribosomal RNA". It matches the Rfam family "Bacterial small subunit ribosomal RNA", at positions 524 to 729 of the family's 1533-position model. The record is from RNAcentral.